RNAcentral lists this transfer RNA (64 nucleotides) under Chilotomina oberthuri. Its description in RNAcentral is "tRNA-His". The record is from RNAcentral. Lineage: Eukaryota; Metazoa; Arthropoda; Insecta; Coleoptera; Chrysomelidae.
AUCUAAGUAGUUUAAAAGAAAAUCUGAAUUUGUGGAAUUCAAGAUGUGUCAUGCACCUUAGAUA